ACGAACUGGCCAAUCUCCCACGUGUAAGGCCUUUUCCUCCUCAGCUGAAAUAAAGACAAGGAUGAGUCAGCCUCUCCCAACCUCCAGGAUCUCCCAAUCCUCCCAGUGACUCAGAGGACGGUCUGUUUAGUGGGUAAAUGCUCCGCCCAGGAAGUUGGCAGCCCCAGCCUCCCCCUACCUGAGUCACUGGCCUUUGGUGCUGCUAUCAAGACAUAUUGCCACGAAGACCUGUGGAGGCAGGCCAAGAAAGAUCAGCGAUCAGUGGACCAGGAAAGAGGAUGGGAGUUGAAAGGCUAAGAUGCAGGAGACUAAAUUUGUUCCUCACUUGCUGGUGGCCUCGGACGGACCAACAAAGGGCUCAGUGUCCCUAUUUGAAAGGCCUGGAUGAUGCCAGCUCCCCAGCUGCAAGGGAGACUGGGAAAGACUGCUUCUGGCUUUGGAGUACAGGGUGCAGGAUUCGUGACACGGAAAGUUCCUCAAACACAGAAGAAUGCUCAAAAGGUGUUGGGCACCCCUGAAACAUGAUGAAGGUCCUCAACAAUGGCCGAUACUUUUCAUGAACUUUCUGUGUGCUUGGCACACAGCUCUGGGUCCAUUCACCUUCUAAUUGCAAACAGUGCUCUGACGUCACCCUUCCUCACUCUUCAUCACUGUGGUUUGGAUGGGAUCAUCUCCAGGGUCGGGCAUAGGAUUCAGGUCCAAACAAUGAUAUGUGACCCACUCAGAGCCAACUUGAUGCAACCUUGGCUUUUUCUGGGACAGCUGAAAGAAAUGAGGACUUGGGCUGUGAGGAUGGAGCCUAGAGUUGCUGGCAGCCAUCUUGCCGCUGCAAGGAACAGAGAAGAAAGAUGAGAAGAAGACUA
RNAcentral lists this long non-coding RNA (863 nucleotides) under Equus caballus (horse). RNAcentral's name for it is "lncRNA (ENSECAG00000052358.1)". The record is from RNAcentral. Lineage: Eukaryota; Metazoa; Chordata; Mammalia; Perissodactyla; Equidae.